This 253-nucleotide ribosomal RNA is filed under the name uncultured bacterium. RNAcentral's name for it is "partial 16S ribosomal RNA". It matches the Rfam family "Bacterial small subunit ribosomal RNA", at positions 524 to 776 of the family's 1533-position model. The record is from RNAcentral.
UACAGAGGGUGCGAGCGUUAAUCGGAAUUACCGGGCGUAAAGCGCACGUAGGCGGCGACGUAAGUCGGGUGUGAAAGCCCCGGGCUCAACCUGGGAAUUGCAUUCGAGACUGCAUUGCUGGAGUACGGAAGAGGAGGGCGGAAUUCCCGGUGUAGCGGUGAAAUGCGUAGAUAUCGGGAGGAACAUCAGUGGCGAAGGCGGCCCUCUGGUCCAGUACUGACACUCAAGUGCGAAAGCGUGGGGAGCAAACAGG